AUGCAUGUAUAAGCAUGAGCCGAAUAAUGGUGAAGCCGUGAAUGGCUCAUUACAACAGCCGUUGUUUCUUGGAUCUUGAUUUACUUGGAUAACUGUGCGUAAUUCUAGCCGCUCAUACUUGCAACCAAGCCUCCAACCUUGCGGAAGGAGCGCAUUUAUUAGACCAAGACCAAUCGGGCUCUGCCUGACUUUUGGUGACUCUGAAUAACUAUGCUGAUCACACGGUCUAGCACCGGUGACAUAUCUUUCAAGUGUCUGCCCUAUCAACUUUCGAUGGUAGUUUAUGUGCCUACCAUGGUUGUAACGGGUAACGGAGAAUAAGGGUUCGACUCCGGAGAGGGAGCCUGAGAAAUGGCUACCACAUCCAAGGAAGGCAGCAGGCGCGCAAAUUACCCACUCUCAGUUCGAGGAGGUAGUGACGAAAAAUAACGAGACGGUUCUCUAUGAGGCCCGUCAUCGGAAUGGGUACAAUUUAAACCCUUUAACGAGGAUCUAUUGGAGGGCAAGUCUGGUGCCAGCAGCCGCGGUAAUUCCAGCUCCAAUAGCAUAUGCCAAUUCUGUUGCUGUUAAAAAGCUCGUAGUUGGAUCUUUUCCGAGGAGCCAGUCUGCCUAAAGGGUAUGUACUGGUUUCCAAGGAUUUUUUUGCUGGUUUUCCCGUGGUGCUCUUUACCGGGUGUCACGGGUGGCUAGCGCUAUUACUUUGAAAAAAUUAGAGUGCUCAAAACAGGCGUUACUGCCCGAAUAGUGGUGCAUGGAAUAAUGGAAUAGGAUCUCGGUUCUAUUUUGUUGGUUUUAGGAGCGCGAGAUAAUGAUUAAGAGGGACAGACGGGGGCAUUCGUAUUGCGGCGUUAGAGGUGAAAUUCUUGGAUCGCCGCAAGACGAACAACUGCGAAAGCAUUUGCCAAGAAUGUUUUCAUUAAUCAAGAACGAAAGUUAGAGGUUCGAAGGCGAUCAGAUACCGCCCUAGUUCUAACCGUAAACGAUGCCAUUUAGCAAUCUGCUGGCGUUAAUCAUGACCCAGCAGGCAGCUUCCCGGAAACGAAAAUCUUUCGGUUCAGGGGGAAGUAUGGUUGCAAAGCUGAAACUUAAAGGAAUUGACGGAACGGCACCACCAGAUGUGGAGCCUGCGGCUUAAUUUGACUCAACACGCGUAAAACUCACCCGACCCGGACACCGUCAAGGAUUGACAGAUUGAUAGCUCUUUCCUGAUUCAGUGGGUGGAGGUGCAUGCCUGUUCUUAGUUGGUGGAGUGAUUUGUCUGGUUAAUUCCGAUAACGAACGAGACUCUAGCCUGAUAAAUAGUUCGCGGAUCGUUCCGUCCCCCGUACUUCUUAGAGGGACAAGUGGCAUAUAGCCGCACGAGAUUGAGCAAUAACAGGU
This 1380-nucleotide ribosomal RNA is filed under the name Metachromadora sp. M2. RNAcentral's name for it is "SSU rRNA". It matches the Rfam family "Eukaryotic small subunit ribosomal RNA", at positions 51 to 1461 of the family's 1831-position model. The record is from RNAcentral. Lineage: Eukaryota; Metazoa; Nematoda; Chromadorea; Desmodorida; Desmodoridae.